Molecule: ribosomal RNA, 494 nt
Filed under: uncultured bacterium
Lineage: Bacteria
Description: partial 16S ribosomal RNA
Rfam family: Bacterial small subunit ribosomal RNA
Source: RNAcentral
GACGAACGCUGGCGGCGUGCUUAACACAUGCAAGUCGAACGGAAAGGCCUGCUUUCCCUUGUGGAUUGCGGGUACUCGAGUGGCGAACGGGUGAGUAACACGUGAGUGAUCUGCCCCCAACUUGGGUAUAAGCCUGGGAAACUGGGUCUAAUUCCCGAUAGGACUGCAGGGUGGUGCCUGUGGUGGAAAACGAUUUUCUAGUGGUUGGGGAUGAGCUCGCGGCCUGUCAGCUUGUUGGUGGGGUAAUGGCCUACCAAGGCGGCGACGGGUAGCCGGCCUGGGAGGGUGGACGGCCACAUUGGGACUGAGAUACGGCCCAGACUCCUACGGGAGGCAGCAGUGGGGAAUAUUGCACAAUGGGCGGAAGCCUGAUGCAGCGACGCCGCGUGGGGGAUGACGGCCUUCGGGUUGUAAACUCCUUUCGACCGCGAGGAAGCCACCUGGUUGGAAGGGUGGUGACGGUAGUGGUAGAAGAAGCACCGGCUAACUACGUG